Molecule: microRNA, 22 nt
Filed under: Tribolium castaneum (red flour beetle)
Lineage: Eukaryota; Metazoa; Arthropoda; Insecta; Coleoptera; Tenebrionidae
Description: tca-miR-3829-5p
Source: miRBase by way of RNAcentral
CAGAGUUCCUCGAUGCCGUUUC